This 374-nucleotide long non-coding RNA is filed under the name Junco hyemalis (dark-eyed junco). RNAcentral's name for it is "lncRNA (ENSJHYG00000016118.1)". Lineage: Eukaryota; Metazoa; Chordata; Aves; Passeriformes; Passerellidae. The record is from RNAcentral.
GGAAAUUCAAAAGUAAAGUACAUGCUCCUAUCUCUCAUCUUGAUGGCUGGAAACUGAUCUGUUACUGGGACUAUGAAAAAAUGCAAGAUCAUGUAAGUGUGUAGGUAGGUUCUCUGCCUGUGUAAGUUAUUCACUGAUUUCAAUGAUGUUUUGGCAGCUGAUGACUGGUUGAUGAUCCAGAGAUGUUUCUUUUUAUGUGUUGGCAUGAACUAAUGGACCAUGGCUGUUGUCUGAGUGAAGCUGAGGAGGGCAGUGAUAGAGCAGCCUUGGUGGGGUCAAUCUUCCACAGCAGACACCAGGACACUGAACUCUGAACUCUUCAAAGGCCUACUUCAUAGCUAAACUGUGUCUUCUGGUAAGAUUUAGGUAUUUUU